GACAGAGGCCUCGAGCGUUAGGCGGAAUCACUGGGCUUAAAGCGUGUGUAGGCGGACCUCUAAGUACCUUGUGAAAUCCCACGGCUCACCCGUGGAACCGCUGGGUAUACUGGGGGUCUUGGGCCAUUCAGGGGCGACUGGAACAAGCGGUGGAGCGGUGAAAUGCGUAGAUAUCGCUUGGAACGCCGACGGUGAAAACAGACAGCUGGGAGUGUGCUGACGCUGAGACACGAAAGCCAGGGGAGCGAACGGG
Molecule: ribosomal RNA, 253 nt
Filed under: uncultured bacterium
Lineage: Bacteria
Description: partial 16S ribosomal RNA
Rfam family: Bacterial small subunit ribosomal RNA
Source: RNAcentral